Molecule: ribosomal RNA, 345 nt
Filed under: uncultured bacterium
Lineage: Bacteria
Description: partial 16S ribosomal RNA
Rfam family: Bacterial small subunit ribosomal RNA
Source: RNAcentral
CCUACGGGAGGCAGCAGUAGGGAAUAUUGCUCAAUGGGGGAAACCCUGAAGCAGCAACGCCGCGUGGAGGAUGAAGGUUUUCGGAUUUUAAACUCCUUUUGUUAGAGAAGAUAAUGACGGUAUCUAACGAAUAAGCACCGGCUAACUCCGUGCCAGCAGCCGCGGUAAUAAGGAGGGUGCAAGCGUUACUCGGAAUCACUGGGCGUAAAGGGCGCGUAGGCGGGAUAGCAAGUCAAAUGUGAAAUCCUAUGGCUUAACCAUAGAACUGGAUUUGAAACUGUUAUUCUAGAGUAUGGGAAGGGUAGGUGGAAAUCUUGGGGUAGGGGGAGAAACCGUAGAGAUCAA